This 407-nucleotide ribosomal RNA is filed under the name uncultured bacterium. RNAcentral's name for it is "partial 16S ribosomal RNA". It matches the Rfam family "Bacterial small subunit ribosomal RNA", at positions 28 to 526 of the family's 1533-position model. The record is from RNAcentral.
GACGAACGCUGGCGGCGUGCCUAAUACAUGCAAGUAGAACGCAGUUGCGAACGGGUGAGUAACGCGUAUGUAACUGCCUGGUAGCGGGGGGGAACAAUUGUAAACGAUAGCUAAUACCGCAUACUACCAGAUGGACCUGCGUUGUAUUAGGUAGUUGGUGGGGUAACGGCUCACCAAGGGCACGAUACAUAGCCGACCUGUGAGGGUUAUCGGCCACACUGGGACUGGGACAAGGCCCAGACUCCGACGGGAGGCAGCAGUAGGGAAUCUUCGGCAAUGGAGGGAAGUCUGACCGAGCAACGCCGCGGGAGUGAAGAAGGUUUUCGGAUCGUAAAGCUCUGUUGUAAGAGAAGCGGUAUCUUACCAGAAAGGGACGGCUAACUACGUGCCAGCAGCCGCGGUAAUAC